GAUGAACGCUGGCGGCGUGCUUAACACAUGCAAGUCGAACGGGAAACCUUUUAUUGAAGCUUCGGCAGAUUUAGCUGGUUUCUAGUGGCGGACGGGGGAGUAACGCGUGGGUAACAUGCCUUCUACAGGGGGAUAACAACCAGAAAUGGUUGCUAAUACCGCAUAAGCGCACAGGACCGCAUGGUCCGGUGUGAAAAACUCCGGUGGGAUAAGAUGGACCCGCGUUGGAUUAGCUAGUUGGCAGGGUAACGGCCUACCAAGGCGACGAUCUAUAGCCGGCCUGAGAGGGUGAGCGGCCACAUUGGGACUGAGACACAGCCCAGAACCUUACGGGAUGCAGCAGAGGGUAAUACAGCAAAAUGGGGGAAACCCUGAUGCAGCGCCGGCGCGAGAAGGAAGAAGUAUGUCGGGAAGUAAACUUCUAUCAGCAGUGAAGAUAGUGACGGUACCUGACGAAGAAGCCCCGGCUAACUACGUG
This 478-nucleotide ribosomal RNA is filed under the name uncultured bacterium. RNAcentral's name for it is "partial 16S ribosomal RNA". It matches the Rfam family "Bacterial small subunit ribosomal RNA", at positions 28 to 507 of the family's 1533-position model. The record is from RNAcentral.